GGAGUGGUCAUAACAGCUGUAGUUAUAGCUUCUCAUGCUUUUGUCGCCCUUGUAGCAGCCCCGGCAUGCACUGCUUGCAUCCCUUCAAAAAUGGCAAAAAAAGAACUGGUCCAUCUGGCGCAAUUGGAUGUUGCAACAAAGGGUAUCUUUUUCCUCCACAAUCACUUAGAAACAGUAAAUUGUUUGGUGGGCCGAUUAUAUGAUGCAGUGGAGUUCUACAAGCGUCUUGUUCGCUUUGCACUAGAGAGAGGAAAAGACCGAUACCCUAUCCAGGAGGUAGUGAAGCAACUUCACAGGAAACAUAGCAAUUUUUUGGAAGAGCUUCUGGGACUUGAGGAGCAUUUGUGCCUAUGUUUUGC
RNAcentral lists this unclassified non-coding RNA (359 nucleotides) under Hevea brasiliensis (rubber tree). Lineage: Eukaryota; Viridiplantae; Streptophyta; Magnoliopsida; Malpighiales; Euphorbiaceae. The record is from RNAcentral.